Molecule: long non-coding RNA, 5023 nt
Organism: Bubalus bubalis (water buffalo)
Lineage: Eukaryota; Metazoa; Chordata; Mammalia; Artiodactyla; Bovidae
Exons: 4
Source: RefSeq, a predicted model, not a curated record
GCGAUCCCAUGGACUGUAGCCCGCCAGGCUCCUCCGUCCAUGGGAUUUUCCAGGCAAGAGUACUGGAGUGGGUGCCAUCGCCUUCUCCGGGUGCUUUAGCUAAUCCAAUCCCAAUUCUACUUAAACCUAGUUCUUGUUGCAUUUUAAAAUGUUUUUGUUACGAUAGUGAACACAAUUCAGAAUAAUAACAACCGUUUGUAAAGGAAAUCAGGAGAUUUUUAUAUGAAGGUAAAUAAGGCUGGAAAUGCUCAGAACCACCUGGACUCAAGCAGACGAAAAUACAGAAAAACAAAUGGAGCAAUAGACACCUGGAAUUUCACCACCCAGAGGUAGAAACACAAGCAUUUUGGUUUGAAUUAUACCAACAAUGUUGAUCAUGAAGAUACUUUCACAGUGAUACUCCCUCCAGAACGUGCAGCAUGACGCCCUUUCCACAGAGUGCGGGCUGGAGCAAGGGACUCAGCUGCAAAGACCAGGAGGAAGUGUGGGGGCAGCGCCCAUGGGCCAGCCCGUGGAAACGGCCCGAGAGGCAGGCGGCCUCUGCCCGCUUUCAUCUCCCGCUCCUGGGAGCCCUGCUGUCCGGCGGUGGGGACACCCCCGAGGUUUCUGGGGGGCGCGCUCGGUGACAGGCCUGUGGGGGCACCACCUGGGGAGCGGAUCCUCGGGUCCCGGGUCCCCUCAUGGGGGGCUGAGCCACAGAGACUCAGCCAAACUGCGCCUGAGUCUCAACCCCCUGAGACUGUGAGACCGCUUUGGGUCGGUUUGUUCUGGAGAGGGUGAGCCCAGGGGAGGUGGCCCCGGGGUCCGCGGCUUGCUCUCCCUCAGGGAUGCUCUGCUAACUACCCCUCCUCCCCUCAGCGCGCCUCUCUUUCAGCUUCACCACCUACCUUCCGGUCCUGACCUCCCUUCCCCUCCCCCGUCACUGCCCCCCACCCUUUUUUCUUCCCAACUGCACAGCAGUGGGAAGGCUUCUGGAUGUUCGGGAGGGAGAAUGCAGCUUUGGUGAUUAUGCACCACCCUGCUGAAGGUGUUCACUUCCAUGGCACAGGUACCUGUGGGGUGCAGAGGUGCCCUCCAUCCUUCCAAGAUGGGCAGCACUUGGUGCCCACUGUGGGCGGGCAGCACAGGAUUUCAAAGAAACCCUUGGGAAAUAGGUGUUUUAUUUAAAGUCCAGGGGAUGUUUAAAAGUAACCAUAAUACAAAAGUCAUGACUGGGACUUCCUGGUGGUCCUGUGGUAAAGCUUCUGCACUCUCAUUGCAUGGGGCACGGGUUCCAUCCCUGGGCAGAGAACUAAGAUUCUGUGUGCCACGGGCCAAAAGACAAAUCAGUAAAUAAGAUAAAAUAUAGUGGUCGCUAGAGAUUAUGUUAAAAAAAAAUUAGGGGUCUUAGUUUAGAUACCUGGUUUUUAUUGAUGAACAGAAGGAAGAGAGUAGAGCCAGAAGCCCUAAAAUGCCUUUUGCCAAGAAGAAAAUUUGCUGAUGGAGAUGGGGUGAACAGCUGAAACCUCAGAAGUGAAGCCUGUUUGUACCGCCUUUUGGAUUGCUUUGGGCCUGGUGAGAUGGAUCAUGGAACCAUCCGCUCUCUCAGAGCUCGCUCGGCCUGGACCCUUCGCGUGGGGGCUGCCUGUCUGUCCUCCCCUCGAGGCAGCGGGAGUCGCUGGAGCAAGUGAUCCGAGACAGCGACGGAUGCGUGACAAUCAAAGUUUCAAUGUUUGCUCCUGUCACUCACACAAGUAAACCAUUUAAUUGCCUCUUCCCCUUGUGGGGGCUUCCCUGGUGGCUCAGCUGGUAAAGAAUCCGCCUGCAAUGCGGGAGACCUGGGUUCGGUCCCUGGGUUGGGAAGAUCCCCUGGAGAAGGGAACGGCUACCCACUCCAGUAUUCUGGCCUGGAGAAUUCCAUGAGCUAUAUAGUCCAUGGGGUAGCAGAGAGUUGGACACAACUGAGCAACUUUCACUUUCACACUUUCCCCUUUUUUAAAUAGGUCUCUUGGCAAAUACUUCCCGGGGUCCAUGAGCUACAACAUGUUUUGUGUCUUGAGGUAAUUUGUUUCUUUCAAUAAACUGUUUUCCCCCAAUCACUUCCAACUAAACAUCCAAAACGACAGUCGUUUUAAGGAAUGAUUGUAUGUGAUAAGGCAAUAAAAACUCGAAGUAGUGAUGUGUUUUAGCAGGACCUUGUUAUGGCGUGACGUCACACACAACUGUCAGAGACAUAAUGACCAAGUGCAGUAAAUGUCUGGACUGUGCUGGUCUGUAAGUUGCGUACCAGCCCAGCCCCCACGCUUAGACAGAAUUUCAACAUCAGAAAAAUAGGGUCACUGCUUUCAUUUUAAAGCUAACAAAGAUUCAGUUAGAAAAAUCACUCAGCACGGCUUCCGUUGAUGAAAUGCUGGAAUAACGAUGGUAAUUCCAAGGAUCAUGUUGUGUUACUUUGGACAGGCCAAGGGGACUAGUGAAAACGCUGAAUAAAACAGCCCUGGACUUCUGCGACCCUGCAGUGGCUCCUCAGAAACCUUUUAAAAAACUAAAAAAAACACAAAAAAACUCAACUUAAAACAAAAAAAUGAAACCUAAAAUUGUUUUAUUGCACUCUCUAAAAAAUUCUUAAUUAAAUAAUUAAAAUAUAAAGUAAUUAUUGUAAUUUAGAACAACAUUACAUGAACUUUAUUACAAGGUGUUUUUUACCUGAUUCAGUAGAGUCCCAGGUACUUUUUUGCAGAGGAAAUUCUCUAAAAGAAAAUAAAUGAGCACAGUUUUUCCAGACAAAUAUCCUAGUUCUUUCUAAAUUCCAAAUGGAACUAAAACUACAUUAUGUAACAGAUGCUUGCCAAGACUGCGAUUGGUUUUUGAUCAAAGGCCUUAUUGAAACACACACUUUCCUAACAGCAUCCUUUUCCAAAACAUCUUAAAAUGAAAAGCAAGAACACAGCUCAUGAAGGGAGGGUCAGGCUCCGCAUAACAUGUUUGAUUUGUUUUCCUUGGUGCGUGUGUUUUUGGAACUUGUUAAAAAAAACAAGCAAAAAAAAGCACCAUAACAACAAUCCUUUGGAGUAAAGUUGAGUGAUGAAUAAAGUGUUCCAGCCAAGUUAUAAAUCUCAGCAAAGAGAGGUUUGAAUGGCAAGUGCUGGGCAGGACGGACCCUGAGUGCAGCGCCGCCCGAGAGCAGACGGGCCUUGAGGAGGCUCCAGGCCCGCCUGCCCCAGCCGGUCGCCCGCUGGACGGGAGGCUGCUGGGGCUGUCAGGAGAGUUUGCCCAGGAAACUCCAGGGCACGGGAAGAAGUUCACUGGACUUCUGAGAGGCCAAAUAUUAUUUUGGCACACGCAUUUCAUUAGCUGAUAGCGAGCUUUUGCUGUUCAACAGAACUAAGACACUUCCAGCUCAGCAUAUUAUGCUCCCAGUUUGGUUUUUGUUUGCAUUUCCCUUUUAGCUUCGCAUUCUGUACAGAAACACUUCCUAACCAUCAAAAUCAAACAGUCAUCAAAAAUCAUGGUUUACUGUUUAAAUUUAAUAUAAUUCACUUUUUAAAAAUAAAAAAGGCCGUCAUUGCGCUCACCUUGGAGCUGUGCGGAGACCAGCGUCUCCCUGCAGUCUGCGGUCUUCCCUCAGGACCUAGUUAGGCACGAUUCCUCAUUGACACUUCACUGGAUUUCAGGGAAUGAGUUACAGAGCAUGUUCUCCUGGGAAGGCAGAAAUAAAAAUAGCAUUAAGAAUGGACUAAUGUAACAGUUCUCAACAUCUUUUAUCCUCAAUUGCCCAUUUUUAAUUCCCUAUGUCAGUUGUCACUUAAAUAGUACCCAAUACAGAAGAAGCAUGUGUAAUUAGCCUACUAAAAAAAAAAGGCUUAAUAAUACAAGACGAAGACCACACGGGUAUAAAAGUCUUACUCUGCGCCACUCUGCUGUCAUUUGGGGGUCUUUCUCAGCCUGGGUGUACCCGUCGUGCUGUCCUGCCCCGGCAACCCUUGGUGGUGGGUGCGGAUUGGGAUGCGUGAGACGGUGCAGAGGCAGAAUCACCGCAUCCAGGGGCCCUGGGCUUCGAGUCCUUCCAGCUCUGCACUCACCUGCAGGGCGACUCACCUCUUUGGAACUCGGUUUCCCCAUUUUGAAGUAGGGUGUUGAAGAAGGCGUUAGGAAUGGCCUAUGCUAAAUUAAAUCACAUUUGGCACCUAAGUCUGCCUUCUAACACGGUCUCCAUAAUUCCAUAAAGAUUUACCCAGUCUAUAUAGGACAAUGGAAUACUACCCAGCCACAAAAAGAGUGAAAUAAUGCCAUUUGCAGCAACAUGGAUGCAACUAGAGGUUACCAUAUUAGGUAAACAAAUCAGAGAGAGAGAGAGAAAUAUAUGCUGUCACAUAUAUGUGGAAUUUAAAAUGAACCUAUUCUGUAAAACAGAUCCCUGGACAUAGAGAGCAGACUUGUGGGUGCCAAGGGGGAGGCAUUGGAAGACAGGUGGAAUGGGGGUUUGGGAUUAGCAGGCCCAGGUUAUUACAUGUAGAAUUAGAACAAGGUCCCGCUGUACAGCACAGGGAACUGUAUUCCAUAUCCUGUGAUAAAGCAUAAUGGAAAAGGAUAUUUUUAAAAAGAACAUAUACAUACACAUAACUGAGCCACUCAGCUGCCCAGCAGAAAUUAACACAACAUUGUGAAUCAGCCAUACUUCAAUGGUUCUCUUUUUCGCUUCAUCGUUCCCCCAGUUUUAUGAAAUACUACUGUGUCUUCAGUCUUUCAACCUAGUGAAGUAAUUUCAGAAAACACUGCUUGCUUUUAAAUGAUUUAUUCAUGGGCCGUGUUGUUAGUAGAAAAUGCUGGUACUAAAUCAAUGUAUCAUAAGACACUCCUGCUCAAGUUCAAAAUGUUAGAAUAACAGGACUUGUCUUCAGCAACCACUGCAAAUAUUUGCGGGUGUAAAUCAGGCAGGACUGGUUUUACUUUGGUUUAAAAUAUUGCUUCUCUGGUGGCUCAGCACUAAAGAAUCUACCUGCAAUGCGGGAGAUGCUGGUUUGAUACCUGGGUCCAAAAUAUC